ACGGGUGAGUAACGCGUGAGUAACCUGCCUUUCGGAGGGGGACAACAGCUGGAAACGGCUGCUAAUACCGCAUAAUGUAUAUUGAUGGCAUCAUCGAUAUACCAAAGAUUUAUCGCCGAAAGAUGGACUCGCGUCUGAUUAGCUAGUUGGUAGGGUAAUGGCCUACCAAGGCUUCGAUCAGUAGCCGGACUGAGAGGUUGAACGGCCACAUUGGGACUGAGAUACGGCCCAGACUCCUACGGGAGGCAGCAGUGGGGAAUAUUGGGCAAUGGGCGAAAGCCUGACCCAGCAACGCCGCGUGAAGGAAGAAGGCUUUCGGGUUGUAAACUUCUUUGACGAGGGACGAAAAAAAUGACGGUACCUCGAAAACAAGCCACGGCUAACUACGUGCCAGCAGCCGCGGUAAUACGUAGGUGGCAAGCGUUAUCCGGAUUUACUGGGUGUAAAGGGCGCGUAGGCGGGAGAACAAGUCAGAUGUGAAAUGUGGGGGCUUAACCCUCAAGCUGCAUUUGAAACUGUACUUCUUGAGUAUCGGAGAGGCAGGCGGAAUUCCUAGU
Molecule: ribosomal RNA, 557 nt
Filed under: uncultured bacterium
Lineage: Bacteria
Description: bacterial SSU rRNA
Rfam family: Bacterial small subunit ribosomal RNA
Source: RNAcentral